RNAcentral lists this unclassified non-coding RNA (1033 nucleotides) under Hevea brasiliensis (rubber tree). Lineage: Eukaryota; Viridiplantae; Streptophyta; Magnoliopsida; Malpighiales; Euphorbiaceae. The record is from RNAcentral.
GAACCAAAGAUUUCAGAUUUUGGAUUUGCCAAAGAGAAUUUGCACUUUUCAAAAUCUAAGAGUUCCACAGUUGAUCAUCAGAAUGGGGGGUAAGACAUAUUUUCUAUUCAUUAGCUUUGCAUGAUCGUAUCCUCCUACAUUUUCUUUCUUUGGGAGAGAUUCUCAAUUAUUAGUUUAUUCUUAUGCACAUUUUGUCUGAGUGCAUGCAGUUAUUUGGCUCCAGAGUAUAAAAAAUCUAGGCAGCUUACUGAUAAGGGUGAUAUCUUUUCCUUUGGUAUUAUACUUUUGGAAUUAAUUACUGGGAAACGAGCUGUUGAAGAAAAUGAAGACGGUGUUGGCACUACGUUGUCUGUUUGGGUAUGAAUUUGUUCCUCCAUCCGCUAUACUAUUAUUUUUAUAGUUUUUAAUGACAAAAUAGAUUGAAUCAUGCCCAUUAGAGUGCCAUUUUUUUUUAACUCAAAUUGCAUGAUUUGAUGUGAAGAUUCUUGAAUAUUAGCUAAUUCCACCUUUGUAGGAGUAUACUCCCUUAAAUUGUAUCAGAGCCAAAGAAUGAAUUGAUAGGAAGUUUUUAUUUUAUUUGAACAGAGAAAGUUUUGGGGUAGAAAGUAGAAUUAUGAAAAGUGGAUGAAAGGACCAAAAAGGUUGUCUAUGCACUAUAGCCAUAGUCAAUGUCUAGACACGUAACUUUAGUUUAGAACAAACUGAGGUUAUUGGUGAGUUUGUUGGUCAUCAUCUAGCUGUUGAAAAUGCAUAUUUUUAAAACUGAAAAUUUAAGAAGGUUUGGUGAUAUGAAGGAGAGAAAUUAAGAAGGGGAGAGAGGAAUAAAGGUAAUUUUGAAAUCUAAAUUUUAAUUUAGGUUUGACUUUUUUUUUUUAAAUUUGACUAGUAAGAAUAUAGUUAAAUAUAGUUAGUGAAAUUUAAAUUUUAUUAAAAUUUUGAAUAAUUAUAUGCCUAUACAAAUCAAACAAAUUUUCUUUUCUUAAAUGAUUGUUAAUUACUUUUCCUCUAAAUAUUUUUCAUAAGAAUGUAACCG